This 494-nucleotide ribosomal RNA is filed under the name uncultured bacterium. RNAcentral's name for it is "partial 16S ribosomal RNA". It matches the Rfam family "Bacterial small subunit ribosomal RNA", at positions 28 to 507 of the family's 1533-position model. The record is from RNAcentral.
GACGAACGCUGGCGGCGUGCUUAACACAUGCAAGUCGAACGGUGAAGCGCCUUCCUUUUUGGUGGGUGUGGAUGAGUGGCGAACGGGUGAGUAACACGUGAGUAACCUGCCCCCUUCUUCUGGAUAACCGCAUGAAAGUGUGGCUAAUACGGGAUAUUCUGGGUCUGUCGCAUGAUGGGUCUGGGAAAGAUAUUGUUUCGGUGGGGGAUGGGCUCGCGGCCUAUCAGCUUGUUGGUGGGGUGAUGGCCUACCAAGGCGGUGACGGGUAGCCGGCCUGAGAGGGUGGACGGUCACACUGGGGCUGGGACACGGGCCAGGCUCCUACGGGAGGCAGCAGUGGGGAAUAUUGGACAAUGGGCGCAAGCCUGAUGCAGCGACGCCGCGUGAGGGAUGGAGGCCUUCGGGUUGUGAACCUCUUUCGCCAGUGAAGCAGGCCUGCCUCGUUUGUGGGUGGGUUGACGGUAGCUGGAUAAGAAGCGCCGGCUAACUACGUG